UCUCCACAAUCAAAUGCUGGCGAAACCGAGGGCGAAACGGUCCUAUGUGAUAGUAGUCCUUUAGACUUAACCGACGGCGAUGUCCUGGUGAAUCAACAGAAAGACGUAGUGGUAGAAGUGAUUGAAAAUAUUGGUAAUGUUACUAUUUUAUUUCCGUAAUUCGUUUUAGUAUCUAUGGUUUUUUCAGAAACUUCAGAUCCACAAUCAAAUAUUAAGGAAACAGUCAUAUAUGAUUGUUGUCUUUUAGAUUUAACCGAACAGAAUAACGUAGUAGAAGUUAUUAAAAAUAUAGAAACUUCAUAUCCAGGAUCAAAUGAGAAAUCAGAUUUAUUGGAAAUGGGGAAUCAACAUAACCCAGUAGUGGCAGAAGUUAUGCAUAAUAAAGGUAUAUGUUAUUAUGUCAUUUUGUCAGUUAUUUUUAUAAGUAUUUAUUUGCUAAUCACUUCCCAGAAACUUCAUACUCACAAUUAGAUGAGCAAAUUAAUGAACAAAUAAUGAAAUAAACUAAUCAGAACUAUCAGAAGGUAAUAAUCUUGAAAAGUGCAAUCAAUUGUGCAACGUAAAAUUGCCUCUCAAAAUGAAAAGAAGAGGCCGUCCUAGGGGUAUUAGUACCACCGUUGUGGGUCUGAGGAAGAAACGUGGAAAGUGACAAAAAAGUAUUAAGUUUGUAAUUAUUGUUUUUAUUACUUUCAUGUUAAAUAAAUAAUAAUUUUUACAUUA
Anthonomus grandis grandis is the source of this 720-nucleotide long non-coding RNA. RefSeq lists it as uncharacterized. The transcript is spliced from 2 exons. The record is from RefSeq and is a predicted model, not a curated record. NCBI's taxonomy places the organism in Eukaryota, Metazoa, Arthropoda, Insecta, Coleoptera, Curculionidae.